UACGAAGGGGGCUAGCGUUGUUCGGAAUCACUGGGCGUAAAGGGCGCGUAGGCGGCUUUAUAAGUCGGGGGUGAAAGCCUGUGGCUCAACCACAGAAUUGCCUUCGAUACUGUAGAGCUUGAGACCGGAAGAGGUGAGUGGAACUGCGAGUGUAGAGGUGAAAUUCGUAGAUAUUCGCAAGAACACCAGUGGCGAAGGCGGCUCCCUGGCCCGAUACUGACGCUGAGGCACGAAAGCGUGGGGAGCAAACAGG
This 253-nucleotide ribosomal RNA is filed under the name uncultured bacterium. RNAcentral's name for it is "partial 16S ribosomal RNA". It matches the Rfam family "Bacterial small subunit ribosomal RNA", at positions 524 to 776 of the family's 1533-position model. The record is from RNAcentral.